CGUGUAGGCGGCUUGGCAAGUCGGAUGUGAAAUCCCGGGGCCCAACCCCGGAACUGCAUUCGAAACUGCCUGGCUAGAGUCCCGGAGAGGAAGGCGGAAUUCCCGGUGUAGAGGUGAAAUUCGUAGAUAUCGGGAGGAACACCAGUGGCGAAGGCGGCCUUCUGGACGGUGACUGACGCUGAGACGCGAAAGCGUGGGGAGCAAACAGGAUUAGAUACCCUGGUAGUCC
RNAcentral lists this ribosomal RNA (229 nucleotides) under uncultured bacterium. RNAcentral describes it as "partial 16S ribosomal RNA". It matches the Rfam family "Bacterial small subunit ribosomal RNA", at positions 568 to 796 of the family's 1533-position model. The record is from RNAcentral.